Molecule: ribosomal RNA, 254 nt
Filed under: uncultured bacterium
Lineage: Bacteria
Description: partial 16S ribosomal RNA
Rfam family: Bacterial small subunit ribosomal RNA
Source: RNAcentral
UACGUAGGGGGCAAGCGUUGUCCGGAUUUAUUGGGCGUAAAGAGCUCGUAGGUGGUUCGGUAAGUCGGAUGUGAAAUCUCCAGGCUCAACCUGGAGGGGUCAUUCGAUACUGCCGUGACUAGAGUUCGGUAGGGGAGUGUGGAAUUCCUGGUGGAGCGGUGAAAUGCGCAGAUAUCAGGAGGAACACCAAUGGCGAAGGCAGAUCUCUGGGCCGUAACUGACGCUGAGGAGCGAAAGCAUGGGGAGCGAACAGG